CGAAACGAGCGUAGCUUCCUUGUCGUGUGGCCUCAGUCCUUCGCCGUCCCUCGCCGUCCUUCGCCAUCGCACGCCACCGCACCCCAUCUCUCGAAAUCUGCAGACAUCUUGAUUUUUCCCACGCUGUCUGUCAGGUCUCCGCCGCCACUCGACGCCAGGGCGCCGGGCCUUGUGGGCUGUGCUGCACCUCGGACGGCUUCGCACCAGCCAGCGCCCUCUCUCUCCUGCAGCACUCUGAUCUGCACCCCCUGAGGGGCUUCCACUGUCCGCGGGGUGAGAAUGCCCCUGGGAGUGUCACAUGACUGCCGCCCCAUGUGUGUGAGAGGCGUCCUCUGGGAGAGCAUGGAUCCUGAGGUCCCAGACUUUCAGGAAAACAGGUGCCUGUGCCACAUUAUUUGCACGGAGAGACUGUGUCCAGUGAACGGUUCUGAUCAGUAAACUGUUGACUAGGAACAUCCCGAGAGCCAAGUUCCCAGAUGCCAGCCAAGGGCCAUCUGACCUGUUUUGAAUCUCAAUUUCCUGAUACAGAAAACAAAGGAUUGUCAGCUGACCUCUGUCCUGUGUGCCCAGUGGCCCCAGGUGACGUGUCUUCAAGAAGAGGCUGAGCUGCGGUGCUUGUAAGAGUCAUGUGCUGUUCCUGGGGCUUGGAUGAUGUAGGGGAAGCAAGGUGAAAGUGGUAUCCCGUGGUUCCACGUUCUGUCCUGCUGUGGGGCUGUCCCUCACAUGCUUUCAGUGGCUGUUGCAGAGGAAGAGCCUCCGGAAAUCUGCGUGGGUCUCAGCCUUAGAUCCAAGGACAGUCCAAGGAAGUCCUAAGACCAUGGAGUUGGUGAUCUGGGAUCUGGGUUUGCUGAUAUUUCUCACCGUGAAUCUCUUGGUGGUGUUUGUGGGCACGAGAGGGGCAGAGAAUGGAGAGUGAGGCUACCACAUGAAGCGUCACCAGAGCUGCUCCCUGCUGCCUGCUCAGAGCACCCCGGAUCCACUGUUCAAUCUGCACAAGAUUCGGGGUCCAGACAUGGGAGACUUCAGCUGCCUCAGAGGACCGUGGACAGGGAAGGCCAGCCUCGCAUCCCUCUGUCCAUGCCUGGAAUGACUUUAAUAACCAAGAGUUUUAUUUUUGAAUUUGUAGCUGUCGUUCACUUUUUACCCACCCAUUCAAUAAACCUUACAGAAUUGC
Molecule: long non-coding RNA, 1174 nt
Filed under: Homo sapiens (human)
Lineage: Eukaryota; Metazoa; Chordata; Mammalia; Primates; Hominidae
Description: small nucleolar RNA host gene 17
Source: RNAcentral